This 429-nucleotide ribosomal RNA is filed under the name Chloroflexota bacterium. Its description in RNAcentral is "Chloroflexi bacterium partial 16S ribosomal RNA". It matches the Rfam family "Bacterial small subunit ribosomal RNA", at positions 355 to 776 of the family's 1533-position model. The record is from RNAcentral. Lineage: Bacteria; Bacillati; Chloroflexota.
UGGGGAAUAUUGCACAAUGGGCGCAAGCCUGAUGCAGCCAUGCCGCGUGUAUGAAGAAGGCCUUCGGGUUGUAAAGUACUUUCAGCGGGGAGGAAGGGAGUAAAGUUAAUACCUUUGCUCAUUGACGUUACCCGCAGAAGAAGCACCGGCUAACUCCGUGCCAGCAGCCGCGGUAAUACGGAGGGUGCAAGCGUUAAUCGGAAUUACUGGGCGUAAAGCGCACGCAGGCGGUCUGUCAAGUCGGAUGUGAAAUCCCCGGGCUCAACCUGGGAACUGCAUUCGAAACUGGCAGGCUAGAGUCUUGUAGAGGGGGGGAGAAUUCCAGGUGUAGCGGUGAAAUGCGUAGAGAUCUGGAGGAAUACCGGUGGCGAAGGCGGCCCCCUGGACAAAGACUGACGCUCAGGUGCGAAAGCGUGGGGAGCAAACAGG